Molecule: ribosomal RNA, 450 nt
Filed under: Babesia sp. YN-Z
Lineage: Eukaryota; Apicomplexa; Aconoidasida; Piroplasmida; Babesiidae
Description: SSU rRNA
Rfam family: Eukaryotic small subunit ribosomal RNA
Source: RNAcentral
CUCGCCAGAGUACCAAUUGGAGGGCAAGUCUGGUGCCAGCAGCCGCGGUAAUUCCAGCUCCAAUAGCGUAUAUUAAACUUGUUGCAGUUAAAAAGCUCGUAGUUGAACUUCAGCGUCAGUGGCAUCGCGUCGCUUUUUAGCGUUGCCGUCCGUUGGCUUUUCUUUUUACUUUGAGAAAAUUAGAGUGUUUCAAGCAGACUUUUGUCUUGAAUACUUCAGCAUGGAAUAAUAGAGUAGGACCUUGGUUCUAUUUUGUUGGUUUCUGAACCUGGGUAAUGGUUAAUAGGAACGGUUGGGGGCAUUCGUAUUUAACUGUCAGAGGUGAAAUUCUUAGAUUUGUUAAAGACGAACCAGUGCGAAAGCAUUUGCCAAGGACGUUUUCAUUAAUCAAGAACGAAAGUUAGGGGAUCGAAGACGAUCAGAUACCGUCGUAGUCCUAACCAUAAACUA